This 213-nucleotide long non-coding RNA is filed under the name Elaeis guineensis (African oil palm). RNAcentral's name for it is "long non-coding RNA (EGUI_LNC045306)". The record is from RNAcentral. Lineage: Eukaryota; Viridiplantae; Streptophyta; Magnoliopsida; Arecales; Arecaceae.
ACUCAUUAUCCUUUUGAGUCUGCUCAAGGCCCUGUUUUCUUAAAAAAUAUUAGGCUUGAGCUCUUUAACUCUUCCUUCUUGAAUAUUUCAUUCAAAAAUAUGAAACUUCAUUGAGAUAAGAUUUUAACUUUCUAAAACUUCUUUUAAAUACUCAAACAAUUUAUUAGAAUCAAAAUAUACUCAAAAUUUUGUUAUUCAUCAAAAUCAAAUCUA